AACGCUGGCGGCGUGCCUAAUACAUGCAAGUCGAACGAGUUCUCGUUGAUGAUCGGUGCUUGCACCGAGAUUCAACAUGGAACGAGUGGCGGACGGGUGAGUAACACGUGGGUAACCUGCCCUUAAGUGGGGGAUAACAUUUGGAAACAGAUGCUAAUACCGCAUAGAUCCAAGAACCGCAUGGUUCUUGGCUGAAAGAUGGCGUAAGCUAUCGCUUUUGGAUGGACCCGCGGCGUAUUAGCUAGUUGGUGAGGUAAUGGCUCACCAAGGCGAUGAUACGUAGCCGAACUGAGAGGUUGAUCGGCCACAUUGGGACUGAGACACGGCCCAAACUCCUACGGGAGGCAGCAGUAGGGAAUCUUCCACAAUGGACGCAAGUCUGAUGGAGCAACGCCGCGUGAGUGAAGAAGGCUUUCGGGUCGUAAAACUCUGUUGUUGGAGAAGAAUGGUCGGCAGAGUAACUGUUGUCGGCGUGACGGUAUCCAACCAGAAAGCCACGGCUAACUACGUGCCAGCAGCCGCGGUAAUACGUAGGUGGCAAGCGUUAUCCGGAUUUAUUGGGCGUAAAGCGAGCGCAGGCGGUUUUUUAAGUCUGAUGUGAAAGCCCUCGGCUUAACCGAGGAAGCGCAUCGGAAACUGGGAAACUUGAGUGCAGAAGAGGACAGUGGAACUCCAUGUGUAGCGGUGAAAUGCGUAGAUAUAUGGAAGAACACCAGUGGCGAAGGCGGCUGUCUGGUCUGUAACUGACGCUGAGGCUCGAAAGCAUGGGUAGCGAACAGGAUUAGAUACCCUGGUAGUCCAUGCCGUAAACGAUGAAUGCUAGGUGUUGGAGGGUUUCCGCCCUUCAGUGCCGCAGCUAACGCAUUAAGCAUUCCGCCUGGGGAGUACGACCGCAAGGUUGAAACUCAAAGGAAUUGACGGGGGCCCGCACAAGCGGUGGAGCAUGUGGUUUAAUUCGAAGCAACGCGAAGAACCUUACCAGGUCUUGACAUCUUUUGAUCACCUGAGAGAUCAGGUUUCCCCUUCGGGGGCAAAAUGACAGGUGGUGCAUGGUUGUCGUCAGCUCGUGUCGUGAGAUGUUGGGUUAAGUCCCGCAACGAGCGCAACCCUUAUGACUAGUUGCCAGCAUUUAGUUGGGCACUCUAGUAAGACUGCCGGUGACAAACCGGAGGAAGGUGGGGAUGACGUCAAAUCAUCAUGCCCCUUAUGACCUGGGCUACACACGUGCUACAAUGGAUGGUACAACGAGUUGCGAGACCGCGAGGUCAAGCUAAUCUCUUAAAGCCAUUCUCAGUUCGGACUGUAGGCUGCAACUCGCCUACACGAAGUCGGAAUCGCUAGUAAUCGCGGAUCAGCACGCCGCGGUGAAUACGUUCCCGGGCCUUGUACACACCGCCCGUCACACCAUGAGAGUUUGUAACACCCGAAGCCGGUGGCGUAACCCUUUUAGGGAGCGAGCCGUCUAAGGUGGACAAAUGUUA
RNAcentral lists this ribosomal RNA (1481 nucleotides) under Lacticaseibacillus paracasei. RNAcentral describes it as "bacterial SSU rRNA". It matches the Rfam family "Bacterial small subunit ribosomal RNA". The record is from RNAcentral. Lineage: Bacteria; Bacillati; Bacillota; Bacilli; Lactobacillales; Lactobacillaceae.